GAUGAACGCUGGCGGCGUGCCUAAUACAUGCAAGUCGAGCGAACGGACGAGAAGCUUGCUUCUCUGAUGUUAGCGGCGGACGGGUGAGUAACACGUGGAUAACCUACCUAUAAGACUGGGAUAACUUCGGGAAACCGGAGCUAAUACCGGAUAAUAUUUUGAACCGCAUGGUUCAAAAGUGAAAGACGGUCUUGCUGUCACUUAUAGAUGGAUCCGCGCUGCAUUAGCUAGUUGGUAAGGUAACGGCUUACCAAGGCAACGAUGCAUAGCCGACCUGAGAGGGUGAUCGGCCAAACUGGAACUGAGACACGGGCCAGACUCCUACGGGAGGCAGCAGUAGGGAAUCUUCCGCAAUGGGCGAAAGCCUGACGGAGCAACGCCGCGUGAGUGAUGAAGGUCUUCGGAUCGUAAAACUCUGUUAUUAGGGAAGAACAUAUGUGUAAGUAACUGUGCACAUCUUGACGGUACCUAAUCAGAAAGCCACGGCUAACUACGUG
Molecule: ribosomal RNA, 497 nt
Filed under: uncultured bacterium
Lineage: Bacteria
Description: partial 16S ribosomal RNA
Rfam family: Bacterial small subunit ribosomal RNA
Source: RNAcentral